RNAcentral lists this transfer RNA (73 nucleotides) under Salmo salar (Atlantic salmon). It matches the Rfam family "tRNA". From Rfam's summary of the family: Transfer RNA (tRNA) molecules are approximately 80 nucleotides in length. Their secondary structure includes four short double-helical elements and three loops (D, anti-codon, and T loops). Further hydrogen bonds mediate the characteristic L-shaped molecular structure. tRNAs have two regions of fundamental functional importance: the anti-codon, which is responsible for specific mRNA codon recognition, and the 3' end, to which the tRNAs corresponding amino acid is attached (by aminoacyl-tRNA synthetases). tRNAs cope with the degeneracy of the genetic code in two manners: having more than one tRNA (with a specific anti-codon) for a particular amino acid; and 'wobble' base-pairing, i.e. permitting non-standard base-pairing at the 3rd anti-codon position. The record is from Rfam by way of RNAcentral. Lineage: Eukaryota; Metazoa; Chordata; Actinopteri; Salmoniformes; Salmonidae.
GCCCGUGUGGCUCAGUUGGUAGAGCAUGGUGUUUGCAACGCCAGGGUUGUGGGUUCGAUUCCCACAGGGGACC